RNAcentral lists this unclassified non-coding RNA (581 nucleotides) under Hevea brasiliensis (rubber tree). The record is from RNAcentral. Lineage: Eukaryota; Viridiplantae; Streptophyta; Magnoliopsida; Malpighiales; Euphorbiaceae.
AUCCAAUCCCAGCAAUGGCUUCCCGAACCCUCGAGCUAACCCUAAUCUCCGCCCAAGAUCUCAAGGACGUCAACCUCUUCUCCAAGAUGGAGGUCUACGCCGUCGCCUCCUUCGCCGGCGAUCACCGCUCCCUCCAGCGCACCCCCGCCGACCACCACGGCGGCAAGAACCCCGCCUGGAACACCACCCUCCGCUUUGCCCUCCCCGCCACCGGCGAUCUCAGCCGCCACACCCUCCACAUCAUCCUCCGCAGCGAGAGGGCGCUCGGCGAUCGCGACGUCGGCGAGGUGCACAUCCCCCUCAAGGAGCUUCUUGACGGCCCCGCCGCUGGCAAGGGCCCGUCGACCUUCGUCAGCUACCAGGUACGCAAGCCCUCGUCCGGCAAGACCAUGGGCGUACUCAAUAUUUCCUACAAGUUCGUUGAUACCGCUCCCGCCGCCGCCGGAAGCGGCGCAGCCUACCCGCCUCCGGCGGCCUACCCCGCGCCGGCGAAGCCGGCCAAGUACGACGAGCCGGCGAAAGCGUACCCACCGGAGCCGGCGAAAGCGUACCCACCGGAGCCGGCGAAAGCGUACCCACCG